RNAcentral lists this transfer RNA (76 nucleotides) under Thermotogota bacterium. RNAcentral's name for it is "Thermotogae bacterium tRNA-Glu". It matches the Rfam family "tRNA". Rfam says of the family: Transfer RNA (tRNA) molecules are approximately 80 nucleotides in length. Their secondary structure includes four short double-helical elements and three loops (D, anti-codon, and T loops). Lineage: Bacteria; Thermotogati; Thermotogota. The record is from RNAcentral. RNAcentral also lists the same sequence under 2 other names.
GCCCCCAUCGUCUAGCGGCCUAGGACACUGGCCUUUCAAGCCAGAGGCAGGGGUUCGAACCCCCUUGGGGGCGCCA